AGCAAAAGAGAGCUCUCCAUUACUGCGGUCUUUUUAAUCUGUGUAACUGCAUGUGGCUUGCUACAAAAGUGAACUAGAAGGCAAUGGGCUGAAAGGGGCUCAGGAACACCGAACUAAAUUAAACUCCCCAACCCAGCUACUUCAGAUAUGACCAAGAAGAUAGCUCCUGCAAGGGGUCAUUGAAGCUGAUAUCUCAUUCCUGAGGGUAAGCAAGGAUGCAUCUCCUGCAUGCGUGUGGCUUCAGACCCGGUCCUUAUGCUGCUCGCCUGUGCGCUUCUUUGGUCCCUGCACAAAUGAUUGCCAGUUGGCACAGGAAAGUUUCCUACAAUGGCAGAAGAAACAAAGCAGCUCUGCCAAGGAACCUCCGGAAGAGGAUUGCCGAGUACCUCCAGGAAACUUUCCUAGAGAUCUUUCUAGAGGAUUCCCGUGAAAUCUCAGUGUUCAUUAACACACUGUUCUGCGGGGGUUUGUGACAGGGUGCUAAGCAGAAAGCUGCUUAGCCAAACCCCUGUCACUCCAGCUCCAAUUAAGGGAGGUGAAUUGGAGCUGAGUAGAUCACCUGGCCCUGAUUGGGGAAGCUGGAACAGCUGCUGCCUCAUCAGGCUGCAGCUGGAUAAAAGCCCCAGAGGAAGGAAGCCAGGGGAGGAGCUGGGAAAAGGAGAAGCUGCACUAAUGGAGAAGUAGCUUGUCUCUUCUCUGGCUGGUAGACAAGUAGAAAGGGAUUGUAUGUAUUGUGGUGAAAAGGUGGUGGGAACACUACUUGUAAAAUAAAGCACCAGGUGAGCACUGCAACAAGGACUCGGAGUGACUUUCUCAGCCCAGCGGGGGCAGGAGGCAGGUGGGCCCAGCAGGGAACUUGCUACAGGACCCCACUGCAUAGAUGUGUAGCAGACGCAAACACUGCUAGUCUUGUCCAUUUCUAUCCCUUAACCCACUUCUAGCACAUAAAAGAAUAAAGGACAGCUCUGCCUCAUGUAAGCAAGCAGUAUCAACUCAAAACAAGCACUUACCAGAGCUUUCCUCUCCUGCAUCAUGCACGCCAAAGACAGAGUGCUGGGACUGGCUCCAACCUUCCAGGGUUGAGAAUAGGUCCUGGCUCACCACAGCACAGGCCUGUUCCACCUCAUCCUCAAUUCCACUUUCCCGUCCACCACUUCACCCUCAGGGUUGA
This is a long non-coding RNA of Mauremys reevesii (Reeves's turtle), 1171 nucleotides long. RefSeq lists it as uncharacterized. NCBI's taxonomy places the organism in Eukaryota, Metazoa, Chordata, Testudines, Geoemydidae. The record is from RefSeq and is a predicted model, not a curated record. The transcript is spliced from 3 exons.